This 1018-nucleotide ribosomal RNA is filed under the name uncultured bacterium. RNAcentral's name for it is "bacterial SSU rRNA". It matches the Rfam family "Bacterial small subunit ribosomal RNA", at positions 355 to 1375 of the family's 1533-position model. The record is from RNAcentral.
UGAGGAAUAUUGGUCAAUGGGCGGGAGCCUGAACCAGCCAAGUAGCGUGAAGGACGACGGCCCUACGGGUUGUAAACUUCUUUUAUAAGGGAAUAAAGUUCGCCACGUGUGGUGUUUUGUAUGUACCUUAUGAAUAAGCAUCGGCUAAUUCCGUGCCAGCAGCCGCGGUAAUACGGAAGAUGCGAGCGUUAUCCGGAUUUAUUGGGUUUAAAGGGAGCGUAGGCGGGCUUUUAAGUCAGCGGUCAAAUGUCGUGGCUCAACCAUGUCAAGCCGUUGAAACUGUAAGCCUUGAGUCUGCACAGGGCACAUGGAAUUCGUGGUGUAGCGGUGAAAUGCUUAGAUAUCACGAAGAACUCCGAUCGCGAAGGCAUUGUGCCGGGGCAUAACUGACGCUGAGGCUCGAAAGUGCGGGUAUCAAACAGGAUUAGAUACCCUGGUAGUCCGCACGGUAAACGAUGAAUGCUCGCUAUGGGCGAUAUAUUGUCCGUGGCCAAGCGAAAGCGUUAAGCAUUCCACCUGGGGAGUACGCCGGCAACGGUGAAACUCAAAGGAAUUGACGGGGGCCCGCACAAGCGGAGGAACAUGUGGUUUAAUUCGAUGAUACGCGAGGAACCUUACCCGGGCUUGAAUUGCAGGUGCAUGAGUCAGAGAUGAUUCUUUCCUUCGGGACUCCUGUGAAGGUGCUGCAUGGUUGUCGUCAGCUCGUGCCGUGAGGUGUCGGCUUAAGUGCCAUAACGAGCGCAACCCUUCUCCCCAGUUGCCAUCGGGUAAUGCCGGGCCCUCUGGGGACACUGCCAUCGUAAGAUGCGAGGAAGGUGGGGAUGACGUCAAAUCAGCACGGCCCUUACGUCCGGGGCCACACACGUGUUACAAUGGGGGGUACAGAGGGCCGCUACCACGCGAGUGGAUGCCAAUCCCUAAAACCCCUCUCAGUUCGGACUGGAGUCUGCAACCCGACUCCACGAAGCUGGAUUCGCUAGUAAUCGCGCAUCAGCCACGGCGCGGUGAAUACGUUCCC